This 253-nucleotide ribosomal RNA is filed under the name uncultured bacterium. Its description in RNAcentral is "partial 16S ribosomal RNA". It matches the Rfam family "Bacterial small subunit ribosomal RNA", at positions 524 to 776 of the family's 1533-position model. The record is from RNAcentral.
UACGGGGGGGGCAAGCGUUGUUCGGAAUUACUGGGCGUAAAGGGCUCGUAGGUGGCCAACUAAGUCAGACGUGAAAUCCCUCGGCUUAACCGGGGAACUGCGUCUGAUACUGGAUGGCUUGAGUUCAGGAGAGGGAUGCGGAAUUCCAGGUGUAGCGGUGAAAUGCGUAGAUAUCUGGAGGAACACCGGUGGCGAAGGCGGCAUCCUGGACCGACACUGACACUGAGGAGCGAAAGCCAGGGGAGCAAACGGG